AUUGCAGAAUUCAGUGGAAUCAUCGAAUCUUUGAACGCACCUUGCGCCCUUUGGCUAUUCCGAAGGGCAUGCCUGUUUGAGUAUCAUG
RNAcentral lists this ribosomal RNA (88 nucleotides) under uncultured fungus. RNAcentral's name for it is "partial 5.8S ribosomal RNA". It matches the Rfam family "5.8S ribosomal RNA", at positions 71 to 154 of the family's 154-position model. Rfam says of the family: 5.8S ribosomal RNA (5.8S rRNA) is a component of the large subunit of the eukaryotic ribosome. It is transcribed by RNA polymerase I as part of the 45S precursor that also contains 18S and 28S rRNA. Lineage: Eukaryota; Fungi. The record is from RNAcentral.